UUAAUGCUGAUGUGUUUAUGCUUUGUAGGGAAUUUCUCUUCUUUGCAGAAGAUCGGUUUAUUUAGAUGCUGAGCCAGUGUGUUCUCCUCCACGGCAGAGAUUCUACGUAUUGAUUUUAAGAUUUUUUGUUUGGGUGUAAUUUGGGGAUGAAUGUGGGUGAUGCUAGUUGCAGUUGGCAUUUUCUUCAGCAUUCUAGAUGGCACUUGAACUGUAAUUUUAUGGCAGAAGGUUGGAGGAACUUGAAGAGCAACAAAAUGAGGUCUUUUUGACAGAAGACAGAAGACAGAAGCCUAGAUCAAGUUCCUUGGUCAAUAAGUCUUUUCUCCGCUAGUGGGACUAUUGGGACUAUUAACUUGUAGGAAGUUUGCCUUGGAGGACAAAUCAUUGAGCGCUACUUUGAUGCAGAUUUUGUAAAAGAUCGUGAGGAUAGAAUUAAGAAAAGUUGUGAGUAGCGUGAUUGAUGGCAUGAGUUUGAAAUUUCUGGAAAGAAGUUUCUGGACAUCACUUACAAUUCCCACAAUAUCCAAUAGCACAUUAGCAAUAGAAGAUCUGUAAUCUUCAAAUUCAAACCUUCAAUAUUUUCUUCCAUUA
Molecule: non-coding RNA, 591 nt
Organism: Prunus mume (Japanese apricot)
Lineage: Eukaryota; Viridiplantae; Streptophyta; Magnoliopsida; Rosales; Rosaceae
Source: RefSeq, a predicted model, not a curated record